RNAcentral lists this ribosomal RNA (483 nucleotides) under uncultured bacterium. Its description in RNAcentral is "partial 16S ribosomal RNA". It matches the Rfam family "Bacterial small subunit ribosomal RNA", at positions 28 to 507 of the family's 1533-position model. The record is from RNAcentral.
GACGAACGCUGGCGGCGUGCUUAACACAUGCAAGUCGAACGAUGAAGCGGGUGCUUGCACUCGUGGAUUAGUGGCGAACGGGCGAGUAACACGUGAGUAACCUGUCCUUUUCUAUGGGAUAACGGCUGGAAACGGCUGCUAAUACUGGAUAUUCAGGCUGCAUCGCAUGGUGUGGUUUGGAAAGGUUUUUUCUGGGAUUGGGUGGGCUCGCGGCCUAUCAGCUUGUUGGUGGGGUGAUGGCUUACCAAGGCUUUGACGGGUAGCCGGCCUGAGAGGGUGGUCGGUCGCACUGGGACUGAGAUACGGCCCAGACUCCUACGGGAGGCAGCAGUGGGGAAUAUUGCACAAUGGACGAAAGUUUGAUGCAGCGACGCCGCGUGGAGGGUGUAGGCCUUCGGGUUGUGAACUCCUUUUUCUCGCGAAAAAGGCACAGUUUUGGCUGUGUUGAUGGUAGUGGGGGAAGAAGCGCCGGCUAACUACGUG